Long non-coding RNA from Eublepharis macularius, 377 nucleotides. RefSeq lists it as uncharacterized. Lineage: Eukaryota; Metazoa; Chordata; Lepidosauria; Squamata; Eublepharidae. The transcript is spliced from 3 exons. The record is from RefSeq and is a predicted model, not a curated record.
CAAGACUAACCACUGAUUCCAGCAUAAGCCGUCUUGCUGACAUCUUCCCGCCCCUCUGUUGUUGACAGUCAUCAGCUUUAUGGAUGUACACUUCCUCAUCUGAUGAAACACAAAAGUGAUGCCCUCACAGACUCUUCUGAAGCAUUUCCUGCUCCAAGGAAAAAACAAGAUGGACUCUUUGCUUUGAUGAGGAGAUACUUUAGAGACACAGCAAAUGGGUGAAAAAAACACUCUGUGGGAGCUGCGGCACCCACAGGCACCACAUGGAGGAUUGCUACUCACUGAUACAGCACUUUUGAAGGACAGAGAAGCUGAGUUUCGUUCACAUCAUGAAGAGUGUCGUUGUUUGCUUUAGCAGCUAGGAAAAUACAAGCGAA